This 253-nucleotide ribosomal RNA is filed under the name uncultured bacterium. RNAcentral describes it as "partial 16S ribosomal RNA". It matches the Rfam family "Bacterial small subunit ribosomal RNA", at positions 524 to 776 of the family's 1533-position model. The record is from RNAcentral.
UACGGAGGGAGCUAGCGUUGUUCGGAAUUACUGGGCGUAAAGCGCGCGUAGGCGGCUUUGUAAGUUAGAGGUGAAAGCCCGGAGCUCAACUCCGGAACUGCCUUUAAAACUGCAUCGCUUGAAUCCAGGAGAGGUGAGUGGAAUUCCGAGUGUAGAGGUGAAAUUCGUAGAUAUUCGGAAGAACACCAGUGGCGAAGGCGGCUCACUGGACUGGUAUUGACGCUGAGGCGCGAAAGCUAGGGGAGCAAACGGG